CCCCAGGGAGCUGGAAAAACGCCCUGCUGUCACAAUGAGAACCAGAUCCCAUCGGCUGCCAGCUCCUCAGCCAGGACAAAGCAAGCGCGGGCACCUCCAGGGACUGCAGCAGGUCGGGUGAGGUUCCUGUGCUUGGCACCUGAUACCUUCAUCCCCCAUCCAGUGAACUCUGUGCCCCCUGGAGGGUUUUUAACCUUGACCCCUUGUGCUGAUAUUCUGAGGUGAUUUUUGGAGCCCAUUUCAGGCCUCCUGGGCCAGGAGCCAGCUGAAAGCUCCCUGCCUCAGUUUUAUGAGGAAGUGCAAACUCACUGCUUUUUAGCCUGGGCUGAUGAUGAAACCUGGUGGCUCCUCCUCUUGGCCUUAUUAGCAUGGGGAGAUCACCAGCAUAAAAUCCUGUCCAGUUCCUUCCUCAGCACUGGUGCUGUUUGCAUCCUCAUCCUCCCCUCCAGCUGUACCAAUGUCAAACAUCAGGGAGGCACCAGCCAUGCUGGAGAAUGGGAAGAAUGCUCCAGAGAAGAGGAGAUCCACAUGUUUGCCAGUGGCUUUUCAUCCUCUCGUUUUUGUGUUGAUUAUUAUCUCAGCCUUGGUUCCCAUCGUCUUCUGUUUGCUCCAUCAUCAGCAGGCACCAGGGUCAUGCUGGGCACAUGGAUCUUUAAACGAAUCUUCAGCACAAAACUCAGAAGUUUUGAUCUGGAACUGGAAAUUGGAGCACUGCAACGGGAUUGUGCAGGGCCAAGGGCAGUACCUCAUAAUCCAGCAGAGUGGCAAAUACUUCAUCUAUGCUCAGCUCUUCCGCAAGGAGACACUCAAAGAGCCUUUUACACUGAUGCUUUACAAAAACCAAACAAUCACCCUCAACAAUGCUGUGGGUCAUGUGAAUGGCACAAUAAACUUUGCAAGACCCUUUUUCCUGCAGAAGGGAGAUAAGCUGUACUGUAAGAAAAACGACAGGUCAGAUGACAGCCUGCUAGAGAAUCAGACUUAUUGGGGCCUGUUUAAAAUGUAGCAGGACUGCUCAGAGUCAGCUCCUCCCUUAUUUCCUCCAGGAAACCUUAGGUCGUGGAUGAAGAAUCUGGAAUGUCUCUUUGGGUGAAAUUCAGCUUGCUGGAAUACAUGCCAUAGGAAGCUUGUGUCCUGCAGUGACAGUGAACAGCAAACUUUGGUAAUGAUGAAUGGCUGCUGAUGGACACAAAGUAUGAGCAAAGGAUGGAGGAAAAAAACCUCAAUGCGUUGUGGGGUUGACUCUGAGAUCCUGGAAAUACAAAUCCCUAUGUUCAGCCUGUUCUGAGCUGGGGAGGAGCUCUACUCUGCAGCUGGGUGCAUUUCAGAGCUGGGUCCCUUCUAACAAGUGGUGCUGCAUAAAAACAAGAUAUUUUAUAUCCUUCCCGCACAACCUGCCAGUGAAGCAACUUGUCCACAGCAGAGGGACAAAAUGGUUCAGAAACAACACAAGAAAAGCUUCUCAGCCCCCUCCACGGCCUUGCCACCAGCAAGGGAAACACGCCAGGGAAACUUCAUCUCCACGGGUCGUUCAGAGCACAAGGAGCUUUCCAGUGAAGUUCAAGCAUUGCAAAUCCAAGGCAGCUCCAUGCUACGGUGCAGACAGCCCCAGCACAGGGAACCUGGGAUGCAGCCCAGGCAGAUGCCACAGGGGAUGGAUCACUGUUGGUUGAGCAGCACAAAGCCGAGGCUGAUGAGUGUCACAGAGGUUGUGGAGGAGAGCUAAUGGCAGAAGAGAGUGAGCACAGAGGGGAGACAAGAGGAUGGAGACUUGGAGAGCCGUUCCCAGAAUUUUCUUUUCUAUGCUGGGUAGUGGGUGUUGCAAACAGGGCAAGGUAGACGCGGCCCUGCCAUGAAAUGAGGAAGGGCUGAGCAUCCCCCCCUUCCCACAGACAUAGCUCUGACAUCCAGCACCACAGCAGGGAAGACGUGAGCCAGCAGGGAAGCAGAGCAUCCUUCACCUGCUCACUCCAGGCUCUGUCUGCUGUGCUUCCCAAAAUGAGCAU
This 2006-nucleotide long non-coding RNA is filed under the name Chloebia gouldiae (Gouldian finch). RNAcentral describes it as "Erythrura gouldiae (Gouldian finch) lncRNA (ENSEGOG00005005028.1)". Lineage: Eukaryota; Metazoa; Chordata; Aves; Passeriformes; Passeridae. The record is from RNAcentral.